Populus euphratica (Euphrates poplar) is the source of this 508-nucleotide long non-coding RNA. RefSeq lists it as uncharacterized. Lineage: Eukaryota; Viridiplantae; Streptophyta; Magnoliopsida; Malpighiales; Salicaceae. The record is from RefSeq and is a predicted model, not a curated record. The transcript has 2 exons.
CUCCACUCGUGUGCAAAAAACAUGACCAACCAUUUGAUUCUGCUGACAAUAAUUUCAUUUUCCUUUCCCUCUGUCAGGAACUGUGUGAGAAUUUACAAAAUGAUUUAGAAAUGCCAAGAAGAAGAGAUAGAACAUAUCAAAAACUUGCUGGUAAGAAAAAUGCAAUCUUCAAGAAAUGGGAACAAAAGGGCAAUUUUUAAUUUUAGUAUCUGAAGUUUUGAUUAUUUGUAGCAGUUAUGAUAAACAUAAAAUUUGUAUGUGAACAGUUGAAGUCCUCUGGAAGUUGGGAGGAGCAAGAACAUGGUCCUUGUUCCAACCAUAUCCUAGCUGUGAAAAUGGAUAUUACGAUGGAUUCUGAAGAGGUUGUCGGCAGCCAUCCUAAUGGAGAAGCGGAUCAAGAGGCUCGAAAUGCUUCGACAACAUGGUAAUGUAAAUGAAUCUCAUCUCCAAUAUGAUUGAUCUCUGAUUAUGGUUAAGCUAUUAAAUAAAGACAGUGAGAUUUGAACCC